This 377-nucleotide ribosomal RNA is filed under the name Nitrosomonas sp. RNAcentral describes it as "bacterial SSU rRNA". It matches the Rfam family "Bacterial small subunit ribosomal RNA", at positions 1 to 378 of the family's 1533-position model. The record is from RNAcentral. Lineage: Bacteria; Pseudomonadati; Pseudomonadota; Betaproteobacteria; Nitrosomonadales; Nitrosomonadaceae.
GAACUGAAGAGUUUGAUCCUGGCUCAGAUUGAACGCUGGCGGCAUGCUUUACACAUGCAAGUCGAACGGCAGCACGGGUGCUUGCACCUGGUGGCGAGUGGCGGACGGGUGAGUAAUGCAUCGGAACAUGUCCAGGAGAGGGGGAUAACGCAUCGAAAGAUGUGCUAAUACCGCAUAUUCUCUGAGGAGAAAAGCAGGGGAUCGUAAGACCUUGCGCUUUUGGAGUGGCCGAUGCCUGAUUAGCUAGUUGGUAGGGUAAAGGCCUACCAAGGCGACGAUCAGUAGUUGGUCUGAGAGGACGACCAGCCACACUGGGACUGAGACACGGCCCAGACUCCUACGGGAGGCAGCAGUGGGGAAUUUUGGACAAUGGGCGC